Molecule: long non-coding RNA, 2493 nt
Organism: Drosophila obscura
Lineage: Eukaryota; Metazoa; Arthropoda; Insecta; Diptera; Drosophilidae
Exons: 4
Source: RefSeq, a predicted model, not a curated record
CCAUGGGGGGUUACGUUUCACAUGGCCAUGGCAGCGAAUCGUUAUCAGUUCGGGGCGAACUUACAGCCCACUUAGCCUGACAGACUUCCUAAUACGCACCACCCAACAUUAUUUAUUCAUGAACUUGGCGUUCCGUGCAUUUGUUCGUGUUGUUUUCGAUAUUUUUACAUUGUACACAGCACCAAAACGGACGUUGAUAAAAUUCUAAUUGAACGGGCUUGUACACUGUAAGCCAUGUUUUCCAUCGUACACGUUUUUGUUAUAGUCACGUCUCGUCCAGCCACUUUUCACACCUUGUUGGGGAUUGGGAUUGCUAAAUCUUAAUUAUCUGCACUUUCCACACAUGUCGUGUAGCAAUUGCAAUUGUGCAAUGUUGUUUCCCGAAAGUCUCGACUGCAUUUGUCUAUGUAUUUCUAUGUACAUAGUGUCACAGCAUUCUGCCUGAAAGUUUGACUGACGAGUGAGCUUGGGUCCAUACACCAUUAACCAUUAACCAAACAAUAUGUACAUACAUACAUAUAAUUACGACAAAACUUUUAUUCUCGUAGUAGAGAUAACCCCGCGACAACAUUUUAUCCUUAUUUUAUAAUUUUUAUCUGGUUGUACGAGUAUCUGUUGAGAUUAUAAUCGUCAUCGCAUGUUGCAGAAUUGUUAAAUUCUGCGAACAAGAUUUUUUUUUUUUUUAAAUAUGAUAAGCGUAGUGUUCCGGAAACACAUGUCCAGAAAUCAGCAGUGGAGCAGCUCUUGACGCAAGUGAAAAUCAUUCUAGCUAAUGAAUCAGUGGCAGCAGCUCACUAAUUCUCCCUAACGGUUUACAUAUCAAAAGAUGACCCAUUCUGGGAAAAGUGCAAAAAAAAGAAACAUUUGUAUCUACGUAUAAAAAAAAUGUUAUCAAAGACGGCAGGAAUUCUCCUCGUUACAGCGCUCCGGCAGCCACUGUCCCGGUGUGGUCACAGAAUAUACAAUUCAAACUAUUUGCCACUGGAAAUGUUUUGUUUGUUGCGAUGCCCGUUUAUGUUGCUAAUUUGAUCUGCUUCUUUUUUGUUUCUUGUUAGUUUUUUUUAGAUUUUGUUGCCGGGUGUGCAAUGGAGCGUGUGUAUUCAAAUGCGAUGGCCCCACCGCAGCGACGACGCUUUCUUUGUGCCUCUUCGGUAUUUAAUCAAAAAAGAGAGGAGCAAAAAAAAACACACACACCGUGGAAUACAAAAAACGAGACGAGCACACCAAAAUAGCGACAAAUCAACCGAAAAUUAUAAAAGAAAAGAAAGAACUCGACAAAUCGAUGUGGAAUCAAUGCAAUAAAUUAACUUGAUUUGGUUUUCGCUUUGCCAGCCGAUUUCGAUAAAAAAAAAUAAAAUAAAAAACCCAAAAAAAAUGUGAGGGAAAAACAAAAGAAGAAAUAAAUGAAAUAUCGUAAAACAAAAGGCCCAGACCAGUGCCAACGGCUGGAAUCCCAUUCCGAAUCUGAGCUCCACAUCACGCCAUGAAAUAUGAGCAGAAUUUUUGGCCAGAACAAAAAAAAAAAGAAGCCUUUACCUGUCUGUCCACCAGCGGCCGCUUGUAAAUGAAAUCCUUCUUGGGUGAGUAGAGCUCCGGCGGUAUGCCUUUGAAGGAGUACCGCAGACCGGCAUCGUCAAGGUCGUUCGCUGAAGGUGUUCCCCGCAGACAGCCCUCCACAUCGAUCGCAUCUUCAUACUGCUCCUGCUCCGGACCCGCCUCCGCCUCUGCCUCCGUUUCCGUUUCGUGUGAGUCGCAGAUUGUAGUGCUACUCGUCUGAUUGCUGCGACCCGAUGUCGUCGAUCGUAGCGUGGCGCUCCCACAGUCAUGCGCAAAGUCAUCGUUGCAGUUGGUGUCCAGGGCGCCUGCGCCCUCGCCACCGUGCAGCAGCUGAUGCGCCUCCGUUGCCAUGCACCGCUCGGGCUCUGUCUCUGCUUGGCGCGCACUUGGCAUGGACAUGGUGAUGGUGAGCUGUGGUGUGGUGUGGUGUGGAUGCGGAAGAGCUGCUAGAUAUCGAUCGGUGGGCAACACGUGUAAAAAUGCGCGCGAAAUCGGGGCUCAGGUUCGUUGCCCACGCACGUUGUGGGUAUGUUUCCGUUCCGUUCCAGACCGUUAACGUUGCCGUUGCCGUUGCCGUUGACGCCGCACGCGCACUCACGCACCCGCCUCUUGGGCGAAGAUCAACAUUGAGCGGAGUCGUCCCGCAAAGGCCUCCAAACUCCUCCUCCUCCUCCGCCACCGCCAUGGACAUGAUCGGAUUGAAUUGUGCCUCAGAUGGGUGAUGUCUAAAUUCUGAAAAAUUCGCAAAAAUCAAACUCAAUUACGUGCGCUGUCAAUCAGCGGACAGGAAUCGGAAUCGAAAAACCGAACACCGAGAGAGACAUGCGUAAGAAGCGUUUGUUGUACUCCCAUAGUUCCGUGGCGUAUCUCGAAGAUACAUUUCACUUAACUGUAUGCACUAUCGAACACUGUUCUGGGCAACCUUUCCAGCACUAC